GAGAGAGAGAGAGAGAGAGAGAUUGAGAGAAUAAGUUUGCAGCAAAUUAGAAGAAAGAGAUGCACUCACUAGACAAACAAAUUAUGACUCCAAACUAGAACCAAAUAGUUCCAUUCUCUUUUAAGAAAAUAGCUCUAUUAAAGUACCAUGGAGUCUCAAACCCUUUCCUUUCUUACUAAUAUUAGAACUUCUAAAUCGGAUAUUUCAUAAUAAAAAUAAAAAAGGAAGCCUAAAAAAAUAAAUUUUCAAGCAAGAAAAAUUCAAGGAAAAUCAUAACACUCCUACCAGAAUUUUGCAAGAAAAAACCCAUAUUUCAAAGUAAGAAAUAAGUCAAAUACUAUUAUUAAAUUCUUUUUCCUUGACAGUUUCACAUUGUGGAAUACAAUUUAACAAAGAGUUGUAUACAUGGAGGAGACAAAAGGCAUAAUUUGAAAGGAAUUAGUGAAAAAAAAUAAGCACCUUUUUUGCUUCCAUGACUCUAAAGCUCUAUUCUUUGCUAGAAGAUUUAAUAACAAUACCUCUUUAAAUUUUAAAAGAAUUAAGUUUGACACGUAGGCUGGCUUUGUCCUGUCCCACCUCACAAGCAUUAACUCAUUAACAGAUCUCCACAUUCCACGUCCAACAUCUUUUGCAGACAGUUCCCUGGCACUUCGCCCAUGCCACAACUCUUUUGCAAUAUACUUGACUUCCUCAAUGUCUACCUGGACUUCCAUGGCUGUCCCAUAUAAUGAUUCCUCAUGCUCAACAAGACGCUGAUGAAGCAUCCGAUAAUGGUCCAAAUCGAAGUUUACCACAGGCUCUGUUUGAACUUGCAAUCCAGCUAGUUGUGUCACAACAUAUGAGGCCAUGACCUGGCCAAAAAUUGCUGGGAUGGUACCCAAGACAGGCAUUAUGCGAACCCUAAAGCCUGGUACUAUCUGAUAAUCAGAAGGAUUAUCUUCUUCUCCACUUGGUCCCUUAAAUGGAAGCAGCUUGGCUUUAGGUUUUUCAAGGGAGAACACAACAGGGAUGCCACCAUCAAUGCCAUAAUCUUUUCUCAAACGGUGUCUUACAGAUCGAGAUAAUGGAUCAUUUGUUGACUCCCUUAAAUCAGCCACACGGAUUCUUGUUGGGUCAGCUCUAGCACCAGCUCCAGUUGCAGAUAAAACCUUUAAACCCCUACGCACACAUGCUGCAAGAAGUGCCACCUUUGUCUCAAUGUUAUCAAUGCAGUCCAAAACAAAGUCCGGGUUGCCUGAGAGAAUUUCUUCUUCAGAUGAUGAAUCAUAUAAUAGUACUUUUGCUUCAAUAUGGCAUUCCGGAAAGAUUGAUGAGAAAUGCUUCUUGAGGCACUCAGCCUUAGGAAUACCAACAUCUGCUCGUGUUGCAACAGCAUGUCGAUUUAAGGAUGAAAGAGAAACCUGGUCAAAGUCCACAAGGAGAAGCCUCCCAAUUCCUGAUCUCAGAAGCAUAGAAGCAGCAUGACUUCCAACUCCUCCAAGACCAAUAAUGACAACAUAGGAUGCAGUCACUUUACAUUGAGACUCAAGGCCAAAGAAUUGAAUGUUUCUGGUCAAUUGUUCAGAAACUAUUUCAUCUGUUAAAAGGUCUGGACCAGACAUCCCACAAUUCCUGUCUCCAGUAACUGUGCAGCUUCCCAAAGACAUCUGAGAUACAAGUCCUUUACCAUUUAAUUCAAUUGGCUUUUUACUGCUUUUGCCCGAGAUGCUUCUUGGAAGAUGCUUGAGAAGAAACAAGGUAGAACCAGCGCCCAAAAGAGCCCCAGCUCCUAACAAUGCCAAGUAUUUUAGUCUUUCCUCCAUUUCACUUCUUUUCCUCUUCUUCGCCUUCGUCUUCUUCUUCUUCUUCUUUUACUUAAAUGAAGAAAUAAAUUUAAUUGAAAAAGAAAAAAGAUCAAAUGGGGAACCUUAAAAACUUGCUUGCCAGACUUGUAACAGAAAACUGCAAAUUCCUAGAUCAUAACAGUUGCUUUCAUAUAUGGCUAGUUUGUCAAGGAGAUCUAUUUGCCAUGUGGAAUGAUUCAAACCGAGGUUCCAUUAAGUCCACAGCUUCAUCAUCUGUGGCACGCCAACUCCUAGCUUUUGAGGUCAAGAGAAUCAGUCUUUCCAUAUACUCUGAUGAAACAGGAUCUGCUCCCUUGGCAUUGUGGUCAACAGAGGGAGUAUCCUCAACAUCCAAUGGCGUAGAACACAGAGCUGACUGUUUAACCGACAUAUCUCGUCUCAGUUCUGCUGCAUUAACAGGACCUUCAACUUGACUGUCUGGUUUUUGAAUGUAUGACUCAUUUUUAAUGCUGCGCGAGGAAGACAUCUGCAUGACAAAUGAAGCAUGUAAAAAUUUACUAAAUGUAUUAAUGGGGUAUGUGCACGUACCUUUGUGAACAUUUGAGAAAUUUUGAGAUAAUAUUUACAGUACAAUCACUGGCUCACUUGUAUAGGUAAGUUUUGCAUUCUCGGAAAACAGAAUUGAUUAAUUCAAUUUAGCAUACAUCUGCAUAACAGGGUAGGCCAAGUAUAUACCUGCGACCACUGGAUUUGAAAAAUACAUGCAACUUGUCUUUUACACACUAAUUGUUUUCAGACAUACCACAUCCAAGGGAAACCCAGAAACUUAGGCAUUUACCAAUGGAGCACAAACUGCUUAUGUCUACCAAGAAUAAAUAGUCAAUGAUAGAAUGUUUUGUAUUGUUAGGAUUGUAAGUGUAUUAUUACUGUAUUAUUUCUCAUUGUACAAUCUAUUAAUUUCAGCUUGUAUUGCCUAUAACACAACCUAAUAACUCUCUUUACGUGCAAUGAGAAUUGACAAAUCAUUCAUAGUCAAAAACCAGGGAAAUAUUAUCAACUAGAAAGCAUCCAAUAGGUUAGUUAUGAUUAUUACAUUACCCGAAAAAAAUUUAUGGGGAUGUUUCUCCUUCUAGACUUAUCUGGUGCAAUAGUUGAGAGGAUUUGUACAACCUCACUCAUGGUUGGGCGAGCAUCAGGAUCUAACAGCAGGCACUCCUUUGCUAGGUAAGCCAUUAUCUGCAUCUCUUCUUCUGGGAAAUUACCUUUCAAACGUGGAUCAGGCAAAUCUGAUAUUACUAGCCUACUUUCCUGCAAACGAGGAGUAGCCUACACAAAGAAGAAGUAUGAAUCACUUCUAUUAUUUCCCAAAACAGUUGCACUUGUAUAAUUGUCUUCAAUAAGAAAAACAAGACCAUGGGAAUUCAAAUCUAAAAUUUCAAGACGAGACAAUUAAAUGGAAGAAGAUGAGAAAUCUUGAACAAUUUCCUUGUCCAUGUAAUGCCAACUUAUUCAUCUGGUAAGGAAUUUAUGAUAUUCAGAGAAGCUUAAUUGCUGUUGAGAUGUUUAGACAGCACUAAUAAAAGUUAAUAUCUCAAACUAGGGGAAUAAAUGCAUGCAGUACAUAGAAGAUGAUUUACUUUACCCAUAAGACAAGGCUUUCUUCUCCUUUGUUGGUUGAUUUAUGGAUGGGUUGUCGACCAGUGAUAAGCUCAAGAAGAACUACACCAAAACUAAAAACAUCUGACAUGAGAGAGGCCCUCCCAACCAUUGCAUACUCUGGUGCAAAAUAGCCAAAAGUGCCCUGCAUUCUUGCGGGAGAACUUGAACUGCUGGGAACACCAUCAGCUUUUAAACGUUUAGCCAUACCAAGAUCAGUAAUCUGCACAUUUGUAGUUUACAUAGACAGUAAAUGUGCAUGAAUUGAGCAAGUAAAUGUGUGACAGCAUCUUACACUUCAAUUUUACCUUAAUUAUUUCAAAUUAUAACUUCAUCAUACACAAUCAGCACAAUUUUCAUCAUUCAAUUUGGAAUCAAUAUUCAUAACAGAUACCACCAAAACAUAAGAUCCUUACUUUGGCUCUCCAGUUUUCAUCCAGGAGGAUAUUUGUGGAUUUGACAUCUCUGUGCAAAAUUCUUGGAGCAGCCGCUUCAUGGAGAUAUUCUAAGCCCCUUGCAGCUCCUAUUGCAAUUGUAACACGAGUUUCCCACUUCAUGCUUUCCCCCAAAACUCCAUCCAAACAAUCCCUUAAGUCACCAUUAGGCAUGUAUUCAAAGACCAGCAACCUCUCAGAAUGUUUCCCUUGGAAUUCUGAGCAGUAUCCAAGCAAGGGUACAACAUGACAGUGAUGAAGUCUUGAUAACACUUCAACCUCUUUUGAAAAGACAGAGUCAGCAUCAGGUCCUCCCUGAGCUUUAAGUCGCUUAAUUGCUACAAUUUUACCAUCUCUAAGCUGGCCACGAUAUACAAAGCUGCUUCCACCAAGUCCUAUAAGAUUGGAAUUGGAGAAGUUAUCUGUUGCAUGAUCCAAGUCAGAGUAUAAAAAUCGGAAUAUGGUGCCAUGUAUAAUCUCUGAAUCGCUCCUACACAAUAAAGAAGCCCUGCGAAAACACCCUGAGAUAGCAUUAAUGGGCGAAUCAAUACUGAAUUUGAUUUCUGAUACUGAAGAUGCCUUAUGACUUAUUAAGUUAGUAGCACUGUUGUAACUUGUAUCUCUGUCUGAAGAGAAUAUUGGCCGCUGGAUAGGGCAUUUAUCUUUUCGAUAGACAUAGCAUGUUAUGGAAGCAAGAAAGGUGAGUGUUGUAAGUAUGACACAUAGUAGCAAAAUGAUCACAACAACUUUUCCAGAGAGGUGAUUUCUUCUAGCUCCAUUUUCUGUAAGAGAUCCAGAAGUGCAGUUGCAGGAUGUAAAACAGGUAGUAUUAAGACUGCCAGAAGCUACUUUAGGAAAUCCAUCAGCAGCACAUACACAUGUCCAUAUACCUCCACUUGGUCCUCCAGCUAUAUUGCAAUCACAGGAUGUAGAGCAGUUAGAUUUAACAUAACUCUGAUUUCCUUGAUGUGGCAAUGAACACGUACAUGUCCAGUUUUUUAAGCCUGAUGUAGUGGAAAGUUCAUCACAAAAGCCUUGCUGAAUCCAGAUAAAACCAAAGAGGCAAGCAAGGGCAAGUUCCACUUGAAGCUUCAUUUAUUCCAACACUUCAUUAGGAUUAGGGGUCUGCCUCCCAAACUUCUCUGAUCUUAAAUCCUCCAAUCUGAGAAACAAUGAAAAAUAGCCCAGUCCAAUACGAACUGACUCUCAGCAACUCACCCUGAAAUUUCUAGCAUUAAUUGAAUGAAAUCUAAACCAAGCAAAACACAGCCAAGAAAGUUCAAAGAAUGGAUAAUUCUAAAAUGGGGCAAAACCAAUGACAAUUUGAUGAUAUUGAGAGCAAACUAAUAAGAAGUCCAAAAGCAAAUCCAGAAACAGACACUUGACACCAUAUAAUAACAGCAGAUAGAGACUAAUGGUGGUUUUAAUAAGACUAAAUACAAAAACAUGAAAUAUGAUAAAAGAAACAAACCCAUCCACCACACCUCUUGAAAGCAACAUAUUUGCAAACACGAAAGAGACCUUUCAACCAUUUUAGAAGUUAAGAAUCUAAACAAAACCCACAAUUUGUUUAUGUUUGUUGAACUGAAAAAAGUGGAAAUUAAAAAAAAAUAAGAUAAAAAUUUUUGAAAUAUCAAAACAGUACAGAGGCUUAACGGUUAAAAAGACUUGGCUUCAAAGCCAUACGUUGCAAAGUAGAAUUUCAACAUUUCUGCGAAUAAAGUGGGACCCACUACUAGUGGGUGUCGGCCGUCCAGAAUUCGACUGUAGAAUUGCUAGUACCGUAAGCGUAGAAACUGGACAAUGACGGCAUUAAUUUAAAAAUAAUCGGAACCGUUGUACAAAUCAACGGCUUAAGAGAAAUUGUAUUUUAACAUGGUGACGUGGAGUUCGUUAGCGGAGAUCGCAGUUCUUUUCUGUAUAUUCAAAAUUUUUAAUUUAAUCAAAUCAUAGAAUCUCAUUCCCAUUGUCGGCAUGCCAUGUCACGACGCCGGAAAUUUCUAUUCUCGAGCCUAGCGCACUGGAUUUUUAUUCAUUUUACCAAAAUCGCAAUCAGAGAUUGCGAAGUCGAAAGAUGAAGAACCAAAGAUCUUUAAAAAAGAGAGAGAAAAAAUAACAAGUUCUAACACCUAGCGCACCCGAAGCUUGCUUCAAGUACCUUUUAUGGCUUUCGCCGAGCAACUGCAGUCCGAUGCAAAACUUGAACGGCGAUGCAGAGGAAAGAAUUAAUCCAUCAAAACUUCAACAAUGUGAUCCAGAGAGAGCGAGAGCAGCUGUGAGUGUGUUUGGGAGCAUAGAGCGAAAAGUGUGGAUUAAGCGGUUGAGAGAGACAAAGAGUGAGGGAAAUAUGUGAUGCACUCAAGACGAGGUGUCGCUCUGCUUCUGCUGCGAGAUGUUGUGUCACGUGGCUGUAGAAUGGGGAAGAUGGGGACAGUUAAGACUAUAGCCGUUGGUUCUUAAUGAUGGUCAAUUAAGAGCCGUUGGAUUCCGUCCGACUGUCAAUUUUCGAGUUAUGUGCUAGUUUCGUU
Molecule: unclassified non-coding RNA, 6402 nt
Filed under: Hevea brasiliensis (rubber tree)
Lineage: Eukaryota; Viridiplantae; Streptophyta; Magnoliopsida; Malpighiales; Euphorbiaceae
Source: RNAcentral